CGCUCAGCCUUCUCCCCAGAGGCGAGCUUGUUGGCAUUACCCUCCCAUGAACACACCCAUCUUCCUCCCGCCCGGGCCCUCCCCCAAAGCAAACGCCCCUCCUGAUCCUGCAGGUUCCAAUCCUUCAUUUUGAAAUGAAUUCAAACUAAUUGAAUGAGACUUUUUGCAACGCACAGUAUCAAAAGCAAAGGCUGUCAGACUUGAAAUCUACCUUUUAGGAAUACAUGAGGCUGGCUAACCUUUCAGAGCUUCGAGGUACGUCUCAAUGGGUACUGGCCUACCUCCAAGAGCUUGAUGAUCCUCACAGUCCUCGGGAUCUGGACAGCUGGAUUUCCCAAGCAACUCCUGCUAUCUAACCCCAGACUAGCUGACUCCCUGGUGGAAAGAGAAGAGCAAGAGGAUUCUUGCUUUGUAAAGCUCCCCAGUAAAGCCUGUGAGCUUUGGUGGAAUUCAUUCCAAACCCUGUUGCCUGACAGGUGGGGAACACUGAAGGAAUUGAUUCAUCGUGUACAAGAACACUCCCCAGCUUCUGUGACACUGCUCUGCACGUUGCUGGAGUCACCUGGUCCAGAACCAAGCCUGUCCUUCAAUAAGAACGAUUUCACUCGGCCCUGGUGGGAACUGACCGGAGCGGGGGAGUAAGGCAACGCUUCCAGGAGCAGUCAGAGUCUGUGUCAGGAAAGCCCAGGUUUCCUUCUCCAGUAGCUUCUCCAUGGCGAUACCUACCUCCAGCCCUCCGCAAGCACUAAUUGUGUGUGGGAAACAGAAGGAUUUCUUCCAAGUUGUCUCCCCCAAAUAUAUGCCUAACUUAGCUGCUGGCUACACGUGGUUAAUGACUACACUUGGAGGUCAACAGAAGGAACUCAGAGGUUAUUCUCCCUAAGGCUUAUCAGCCAUCAAGAGAAAUCAGACUGUAUCUGUCUGUCCCACUCCCUUCUGAUAAAGAUAGUAGUUGACUGUUUCCUCGUAGGAGAAC
Molecule: long non-coding RNA, 976 nt
Organism: Echinops telfairi (small Madagascar hedgehog)
Lineage: Eukaryota; Metazoa; Chordata; Mammalia; Afrosoricida; Tenrecidae
Exons: 3
Source: RefSeq, a predicted model, not a curated record